Molecule: ribosomal RNA, 255 nt
Filed under: uncultured bacterium
Lineage: Bacteria
Description: partial 16S ribosomal RNA
Rfam family: Bacterial small subunit ribosomal RNA
Source: RNAcentral
UACGAAGGGUGCAAACGUUGCUCGGAAUUAUUGGGCGUAAAGCGCACGUAGGCGGCUUAGCAAGUCGGAUGUGAAAUCCCUCGGCUCAACCAAGGAAGUGCAUCCGAAACUGCUGAGCUUGAGUACGAAAGAGGAUCGCGGAAUUCCCGGUGUAGAGGUGAAAUUCGUAGAUAUUCGGCAAGAACACCAGUGGCGAAGGCGGCGAUCUGGGUCCGAUACUGACGCUGAGGCACGAAAGCGUGGGGAGCAAACAGG